Molecule: ribosomal RNA, 251 nt
Filed under: uncultured prokaryote
Description: partial 16S ribosomal RNA
Rfam family: Bacterial small subunit ribosomal RNA
Source: RNAcentral
UACGGAGGAUGCAAGCGUUAUCCGGAUUUAUUGGGUUUAAAGGGUACGCAGGUUGUUUGAUAAGUCAGUGGUGAAAGUCUGUCGCUUAACGGUAGGAUUGCCAUUGAUACUGUUGGACUUGAAUAUGGAUGAGGCAGGCGGAAUGUGUAGUGUAGCGGUGAAAUGCAUAGAUAUUACACAGAACACCGAUUGCGAAGGCAGCUUACUAAUCCAUCAUUGACGCUGAGGCACGAAAGCGUGGGGAUCAAACA